This 252-nucleotide ribosomal RNA is filed under the name uncultured soil bacterium. Its description in RNAcentral is "partial 16S ribosomal RNA". It matches the Rfam family "Bacterial small subunit ribosomal RNA", at positions 26 to 287 of the family's 1533-position model. The record is from RNAcentral.
AGGACGAACGCUGGCGGCGUGCUUAACACAUGCAAGUCAAGGGGGCCCAGCAAUGGGCAACCGGCGAACGGGUGCGUAACACGUGAGCAACCUACCGAACUGUGGGGGAUAGCCGGCUAACGGCCGAGUAAUACCGCAUACGCUCUCAGGGAGGCAUUUCUUUGAGAGGAAACCUACGGGACAGAUCGAGGGGCGUCGCGGCCUAUCAGCUAGUUGGCGAGGUAACGGCUCACCAAGGCAACGACGGGUAGC